Molecule: long non-coding RNA, 2535 nt
Organism: Sorghum bicolor (sorghum)
Lineage: Eukaryota; Viridiplantae; Streptophyta; Magnoliopsida; Poales; Poaceae
Exons: 3
Source: RefSeq, a predicted model, not a curated record
CCUCCUCACCUGCGCAGACCCCUGCUCCUCCCCGCGGCUCCCUGAGGUAGGGCCGCGCGCUUCGGGAUGGGGUGGCGCCGGCUGUGGGAUCCAAGCGCGGGCGGCCGGAUCCAGGCGCGGGCGGCUGGAAUCGAGUGCGGGAGCCGAUGGUGGCAGGAUCCCAGCCCGGGUGGCGGUCACGGCAAGACUCCGACAGAAGGGUGACGGCGGCGGCGAGAUCCAGGAUGCUGGCCUCAAAUUUGACAGCGAUUUUGGCUUAGAUUUCAAUCUCCAUGCUGCUGAUCCAGUGGAGAAGGGAGGAGGGGUAGAUCCAGUGGAACCAAAAUCCUCUCUAUUUACAAUCGUUUAUUGUGUUGUUAUAUAACUGGUGUUUGUUUUUUUAGCUCCAGUAGUACAACUAUUGAUUUUGUGCAAAGCAGCGAGGAAACAUGAUUAACAUUAGUGUGGAAAAACCAUAAUGGCUUCACAGAUGGAGCAGCACAAAUAUGGUAGUUUGUAUUUCCUAUUAGAUAGUGAGACAGUGAAUACCUUUAAAUUUCCUGUUAGGAUUCAGCUUGUGUCUGCUACAGCAUCCUCAUGAUCUGUUCAUUUAAUUAUCUUUACUGAGAACAUGGCUACAUGUUACAUUCUGAAUUGCUAUAUGCCAUUUGUGUCUUUGUCUGAAUGUUACAAUAAAUUUAUGUGUUCUUCUAUUUAUUAAUUUUUUUUGCCAAUUAUCUGGUCUGCAGCUAGAGUUUACUACAAUGCCUAACUUUUUUCAUCUGUAGCUAGGGAUUAUUACCAAGCUUUUUCAUUUGUGCUUCUGCACAAGCAAUUCCAGUUCUGUUCAUGUUAUAUUUCAUUCGGAAAAUAACGACACAACUGCUUUUGAGGAGAGACUUGGGCAUCUCAUUCAGAAGUUCAAAAACAAGGUGUUAAUCCCAAGCUGUCAAGACUUGGAAAGUUUCAGAUAAGCAACCCAAACCUGUUUGUAUGGAAUUUUUCCCUUGUAUUUUCAGUGAACUCGAUGAUGAUAGAUGAGAGAUGAUCUAGAAUUUUUGUAUAUAUAGUCGUCUGACAGAAAUAUGAACUAUGGAGGCUUAUAAAGAUGGAAUUUGGCUAAGAGAGAAUGUGUGGAUACUAAUGUAUAUUUGGUCCUUCUUUGUGUUAGGCUGCCCUGUAUGGAGGCUUAUAAAGACGCAUGAUCCGGUUUUAGGAGAGCAACCAUGAAGAGAAAAUUGAUGACAUUUCAGGUAGCAGUCCUGUCGAGGUGCAAAUUACUCAUCCAUUAUGGACAAGUACGUGGUGCAUUGGAUCUUAAUUUUCACUAUUUAGUUUUGUUCACUGUUUUUGGAAAUAUUUUAGGAACUACGGCAUGCUGCAUUCUUUUAAGAUGUCAACAUGAUUUGUCACCCUAGCUUUUGCCAAAUGUCGGAAUGCUCGCUAUGGUCAGCACCACAGAUGCAUUGUUUAUACUUUUACUGAAAGUGGAGGCUGUUCUGCUGCUGAGCAACCUGGUGUAGUCUUGAAAGGUUGUCAUUAAGUUUCAUCAACAGUGUCAAGGCACUCAGUGAUCCUCACUAUUAGAUUCAGAAUUGGAGGAAGCAUAGGGUUGUUCAUAUGAUUAUAAUGUGCAUAUAUAAAUUUGGAUUAAUAUGUAUAUAUACAGUGCCAAGACUAACUUUUUUCGUUAAUAUGUAUAUAUACAAUCUAAGUUUUCAUAUGCAUCCCUGAAAUGACACCGUGGCGUUAGCACGGGCACUAUACUAGUAGUGUGUGUGAUUGCUAUUUUCUACAGGUAUCUCUGCUCUCCCUAAUUUCAGGUUCAGUGUCGUUGUGAAGGUUCAGAUCAAUGUCUCUAUUUCCUAUACUAUCCUUCACCUUUGUUAAUACUCUAAUACUUCUUCCUGCAAGUUGAAGCUAUCUUUUAUCAAUUAUCUGCUCCAACUAUGUAAUCUGUUAUCUUGCUCUAAAGCUCCAAUUGUGAGUCAAGAAUGUGUCACUUCUUGGAGGGAUAUCUAUCUACAUAGCUUUAAUUUUUUACUGUUCUGAAAUAAGUGUUGUUCCAGUUUUGAAAACGUUUCCUGAUUUUUAACUUCGGGAUGUUAAAGUUGAUUGGAGAUGUGCCUUGGUAAGAUGAUUUGUUCCGGAAACAAUUCAUGAUGUUUUUACUGUUCUGAAAACAAUGCAAGAUGUUUGGUGUAGUGAGAUCAUAUAUGCAUAGAUUAUUAUAACUGUUGUUUGAUUUGUUCUGGCUUACAUAUGUAAAGUUCCUUUUGAAUUUUUCAUUUGUUUCAACAAGUGAUAUUUGUUUCUGAUGUAUUUUCUACAGGAUAUAGAGAAAUUCCAGCAACCUAAGGUAUUCACUCAUGCUCCUAACACCAAGAAGACCUAGCUUCCAGCACCUAUUGAACUAUUAGUUUGGUGACUAAGGUCACUUGUGAGAUUGGGAUGUGAGAUUUUAUUUGUUUAUUUUAUAUGAGAUGACUUUGUGACUAAGGUCACUUGUUGAACUAUAGUUUGGUGUUCGUGAUGAAUGUAAUAAAUAUUUUGAUG